AACGAACGCUGGCGGCAUGCCUAACACAUGCAAGUCGAACGAGACCUUCGGGUCUAGUGGCGCACGGGUGCGUAACGCGUGGGAACCUGCCCUUAGGUUCGGAAUAACUCCCCGACAGGGGUGCUAAUACCGGAUAAUGUCUUCGGACCAAGGAUUUAUCGCCUUUGGAUGGGCACGCGUUGGAUUAGCUAGUUGGUAGGGUAAAAGCCUACCAAGGCGACGAUUCAUAGCUGGUCUGAGAGGCUGAUCAGCCACACUGAGACUGAGACACGGCCCAGACUCCUACGGGAGGCAGCAGAGGGGAAUAUUGGACAAUGGGCGGAAGCCUGAUCCAGCAAGGCCGCGUGAGUGAUGAAGGCCUUAGAGUUGUAAAGCUCUUUUACCCGGGAUGAUAAUGACAGUACCGGGAGAAUAAGCCCCGGCUAACUCCGUG
RNAcentral lists this ribosomal RNA (433 nucleotides) under uncultured bacterium. Its description in RNAcentral is "partial 16S ribosomal RNA". It matches the Rfam family "Bacterial small subunit ribosomal RNA", at positions 29 to 507 of the family's 1533-position model. The record is from RNAcentral.